UACGUAGGUGGCAAGCGUUGUCCGGAAUUAUUGGGCGUAAAGCGCGCGCAGGCGGUCCUUUAAGUCUGAUGUGAAAGCCCACGGCUCAACCGUGGAGGGUCAUUGGAAACUGGGGGACUUGAGUGCAGGAGAGAAGAGUGGAAUUCCACGUGUAGCGGUGAAAUGCGUAGAGAUGUGGAGGAACACCAGUGGCGAAGGCGGCUUCCUGGACCGGUUCUGACACUGAGGAGCGAAAGCGUGGGGAGCGAUCCGG
This 253-nucleotide ribosomal RNA is filed under the name uncultured bacterium. Its description in RNAcentral is "partial 16S ribosomal RNA". It matches the Rfam family "Bacterial small subunit ribosomal RNA", at positions 524 to 776 of the family's 1533-position model. The record is from RNAcentral.